UCAUUCUUUGAUUAUUUGAUUCGAUUAUAUACUUGCUUAAAUAUCUUAUUGUUGAUUAACUGUUGCCUACUUGUAUGGUGUAUGAGGCAUAUAUUUAUAUUGCUUGAUUACCAUGUCAACCCCCAUUCAUAACAAAUGUAUCCCUCUCCCAUGAAAUGUUUAAUAUUUUUUCAUUCUUUAUUCAUCUGUAAAUACAAGAAUUAAAAUGAGCAUUCGAUAACCAUUUCAAAGCAAGAUCAAAACCUCGAUCCAAC
Molecule: long non-coding RNA, 254 nt
Filed under: Lathyrus oleraceus (garden pea)
Lineage: Eukaryota; Viridiplantae; Streptophyta; Magnoliopsida; Fabales; Fabaceae
Description: Pisum sativum (pea) long non-coding RNA (PSAT_LNC000024)
Source: RNAcentral